RNAcentral lists this long non-coding RNA (693 nucleotides) under Homo sapiens (human). RNAcentral's name for it is "non-protein coding lnc-ZNF680-28:1". The record is from RNAcentral. Lineage: Eukaryota; Metazoa; Chordata; Mammalia; Primates; Hominidae.
UUACAUUCCACUGCUUCCAUUUUAAAAAUGCCUCUUUUUUCAAGCUGGCAUUGGGAUCUCAACCAACAGUUUCCUCCUUCUAUUCCAUGUCUUCACACUUUUUCUAGAUCAGAGGCCUAAGCCACUGACGUGACCUUCUGUCACCUGACCCUCAUCCACAUAGUGAUGCUCCUGGCUGUGGUUUCACUGUUGUCUCCAGGUCUGUUUGAGUCACUGUAGUUUCAGAAUGACUUCAAGUAUAAAGUAUCUUUUUCACCUGAAUAAGGUGGGACCUUGAGCAAUCUUCUGCAUUUCAGUAAAUACUGCUCGCUUUUCCCAUGAAGUCCACCAUCAGAGGUCAGAGGACUGUUUCUUAUUCUGUCAUUAUCCAGAUAUGUUUUUCUUGCAGGACCGAUGCUGCUUUCAAGUGCAUACAUGGUGGUUCUUUUGCUCAGCCAUCAGAAGAAAUCCUGGUACCUUCACAGCACCUGCCUCUCCCCAAGACCUUCCCCAGAGCAGAGUGCCACUCAGACCAUCCUGCUGCUAGUGAGUUUCUUUGUGGUCGUGUACUCGGUCGAUUUCAUCAUCUCAUUCUCCUCAGCCUCACUAUGGGCAUAUGACCCUGUUGUCCUGGGUGUCCAGAGGCUUGUGUGCACCGUAUAUGCCACUGUCAGUCCUUUGGUGUUCCUCAGAUCUGAUAAAAGAAUAAUCAAU